RNAcentral lists this ribosomal RNA (254 nucleotides) under uncultured bacterium. Its description in RNAcentral is "partial 16S ribosomal RNA". It matches the Rfam family "Bacterial small subunit ribosomal RNA", at positions 524 to 776 of the family's 1533-position model. The record is from RNAcentral.
UACGGAGGGUGCAAGCGUUAUCCGGAAUCACUGGGUUUAAAGGGUGCGUAGGCGGUCAGAUAAGUCAGUCGUGAAAUUCCUCGGCUUAACCGGGUGGACUGCGAUUGAUACUGUUUGACUUGAAUGAGGUUGAGGUAGGCGGAAUGUGGCAUGUAGCGGUGAAAUGCUUAGAUAUGCCAUAGAACACCGAUUGCGAAGGCAGCUUGCUGGGCCUUCAUUGACGCUGAGGCACGAAAGCGUGGGUAGCAAACAGG